RNAcentral lists this ribosomal RNA (279 nucleotides) under uncultured bacterium. Its description in RNAcentral is "partial 16S ribosomal RNA". It matches the Rfam family "Bacterial small subunit ribosomal RNA", at positions 506 to 784 of the family's 1533-position model. The record is from RNAcentral.
UGCCAGCAGCCGCGGUAAUACGAAGGGGGCUAGCGUUGUUCGGAAUUACUGGGCGUAAAGCGUACGUAGGCGGAUUAAUAAGUUAGAGGUGAAAUCCCAGGGCUCAACCCUGGAACUGCCUUUAAAACUGUUAGUCUUGAGAUCGAGAGAGGUGAGUGGAAUUCCAAGUGUAGAGGUGAAAUUCGUAGAUAUUUGGAGGAACACCAGUGGCGAAGGCGACUUCCUGGCCCAAAACUGACGCUGAGGUGCGAAAGCGUGGGUAGCGAACAGGAUUAGAUA